UCUUAGCUUGCUAAGGCCGAUGGCGACCGGCGCACGGGUGAGUAACACGUAUCCAACCUGCCGUCUACUCUUGGACAGCCUUCUGAAAGGAAGAUUAAUACAAGAUGGCAUCAUGAGUCCGCAUGUUCACAUGAUUAAAGGUAUUCCGGUAGACGAUGGGGAUGCGUUCCAUUAGAUAGUAGGCGGGGUAACGGCCCACCUAGUCUUCGAUGGAUAGGGGUUCUGAGAGGAAGGUCCCCCACAUUGGAACUGAGACACGGUCCAAACUCCUACGGGAGGCAGCAGUGAGGAAUAUUGGUCAAUGGGCGAGAGCCUGAACCAGCCAAGUAGCGUGAAGGAUGACUGCCCUAUGGGUUGUAAACUUCUUUUAUAAAGGAAUAAAGUCGGGUAUGCAUACCCGUUUGCAUGUACUUUAUGAAUAAGGAUCGGCUAACUCCGUGCCAGCAGCCGCGGUAAUACGGAGGAUUCGAGCGUUAUCCGGAUUUAUUGGGUUUAAAGGGAGCGUAGAUGGAUGUUUAAGUCAGUUGUGAAAGUUUGCGGCUCAACCGUAAAAUUGCAGUUGAUACUGGAUAUCUUGAGUGCAGUUGGGGCAGGCGGAAUUCGUGGUGUAGCGGUGAAAUGCUUAGAUAUCACGAAGAACUCC
Molecule: ribosomal RNA, 643 nt
Filed under: uncultured Bacteroidales bacterium
Lineage: Bacteria; Pseudomonadati; Bacteroidota; Bacteroidia; Bacteroidales
Description: bacterial SSU rRNA
Rfam family: Bacterial small subunit ribosomal RNA
Source: RNAcentral